RNAcentral lists this long non-coding RNA (3217 nucleotides) under Mus musculus (house mouse). RNAcentral's name for it is "long non-coding RNA chr4:59723176-59726393". Lineage: Eukaryota; Metazoa; Chordata; Mammalia; Rodentia; Muridae. The record is from RNAcentral.
UUUAUUAUUUGGAAUUUUAACUUACAAAAAUUAUUCUACUUUGUCAGAGGCACAUGCCAACAUUUAUUGUAGUUAUUAGGGCUAAUGUGGGAUGUUUCAUACAUAAUAUAUGUCAACUAUUAAAUAUUUAUUUCAUAAUCUUAAUAUCUUAAAUGUUCCCUGUUAAUUCAUUUUCUCUUAAGUUUUUUGUUGUGUUUAGUUCUAUUUGAUACAGGGUUUCACCACAUAGGCCGAAAUGGCUUUAAACUCCUAGUCCUCAUCCCUCCACGUGAGUACUGGAGUUACAGCAACACUAUAUACAGCUUUUUCCCUAAAUUAAAGUAUUACCUAAUCUAUAAUUUAUUGCCUGCAUUUUUCCUGGCGUAGGUUAAGUCUGUUUUUUUUUUUUCCAGAUAGUCUUAUUAGUGGAAAUGCUGGCAUUAACUAACAUACAGAGCUGUGAUACCAAUGAAUUUAUUGAGAUGAAAAUUUAUGACCACAAAGGCAAAUAUUUAUUGACUAUUUAGUCGGUGAGAAGUCUGUAAAGAUGUAUAAAAUUCUUCCUGUUCUCAAAGAAAAUGUAAAGAUGAUGUAAUGAAAGUUUCAUUUUUGAGAACCCAGACCCCCCAAAAAGUCUCUGUACUGAUCCCUUUCUGUCUUAUCUUCUGAGCUUUGUGCUCUGCAUUUACAUAAGUAUUGAGUAUUCCACUUUGCUGUAGUAUAUCCCACUUCUUAAGUAUUUUCUGAAGACUUUUUGUUAGAGCUCUUAAAAUCAGUACAGUGAAUGGUGGUCCCUGUGUGGUGGUCCCUGUGCUCACAUAGGUGCAUUGCACACAGGAGAGAAAGGAUUUGUUGUGGCAGUACCUUGUUAGAACAUACAGUGUGCCCCUGCAGCAGGUGCUUCUAGUUGUCUUUAUUAAUAAUCAUUUUAAAGUGAUUGUCCUUCUUCAUGAAGGAGAAAAUCUGACAGGUUGCCCAUAUCACAGAGCAGAUGGUAAGAGCAGCUGUCCUGAAGUACAUCUGGAUCUGGUCGUAUCCUUCGCUGUGGCCACUGUUCCAGAAGCGUCUUGCUUGUGCACCUGAUAAUUCUGCAGUAGGCUCUCUGAAGUAACAAGCUGAAGAUAAACUCCCUGGUGUAAGACAGUUUUUUUGAGAAGGGGCCCAAAAGAUAGGCUUAGACUGUUGUUUCCUAAGGCAGAGAUGGGGCUGCCAUGAAAACUUGAGCAAUCCUUACCAUCAAACAGGUCUGAGAACUCAGACACUGCAGGUGAUGUCCUCCAUCACUGCUGGGUUCCUGCUGAUAACAGAUAAAGGGGAACAGUGCCAUUAAAUCACCAACAACUCUGAACUUACCAUUCGUUCUAAGCAGAGAAAAGGAAGAGGGAUCUCUCAAGGUCCAAUAUAACUUAGAAGUUGACAAGCUGGGUUUGCUAUAACUGAGUGAGAGAUCCUAUUUAGUAUUGAAGAAGUGGUUUCUUAAAAAUAUUCCAUUUCAAUAUACUAAGUUGAAAUUUAGUAGAAACCAUGAUGAACUAGAAAUCAAUAUUAGUUAGGUCUUGUUAAUAAAACCAUUGUCAUUGUUGAAUUGUGACCUCAGGGGCUACCCCUAGAAAAGACCUUAGAAGGUGUCCAGUAAUUGCCAGGAUUUAGACUAGGAAACCCUCCUGUAUGGAGGUGAUAAGGAAGACUGGUCCCUCAGAAAAAAACAUAUGCACAUUUACACUCAUGCACACACACACUCACUGGGUCCCUCAGAACAUACACACGUACACACUCGCACUCAUUGGAGACAGUCGGUUCCUUAGACCUCUUUUCCUUUGAGAUGCUGUGCCAAGUGGGUCCACGUUUCCUCUGUUAGACACCCUUCACAUGGUCUUCAUCACAACAGGAAACAACCCCCUGGACAGAUGAGAUCAGUACCCGAGUCUUACCAUUUUGUUGGGACUAAAGCAGGUGAGCCCAGGCACCCAGAGUCCCUACCCGUGUAUAAAAAUGAUAGACUUUAGAGAAGGAAUUCCUACCUGCGCGGUGGACAUUAACCCUGAUUAAAGUGUGUUUUUCUUCUUUUCCAAACUGUAUUUUAAACUCUCAUGGUUUCUUUGUCUUGUUUUUUAAAGACUGGAUCUCACUGUGUAGUUUUGGCAAGCUGGAACUCCCUGUGUCGGCUAGGUUGACUUUGAACUCACAAGAGUUCUGACUGCCUCUGCCUCUGGAAUGCUCAAAUUAAUGGUGUGCACCACCAUGCCCAGAAUUAGUCCUCACAUUUUUUUAUAGGCUGUUUGGAUAUGAAGCUUUUCAUUGUAUAGAAUUGUGUCUUGACUUUAACUAUGCUUUUUUAUUGUGAGAUGUAUUAGAAUAACCUCUAGUGUAACUGGUUCUUAAUAAAUGUCACUCAGUUUCCAGUUAUGCAUGGGGAGGCAAACUCCCUGCAUCUUAUAAGUAUUGGAUUCCAGUUGUAGCUCAUGGACCAAAAGGGGGUUUCUGUCCAUUGGCAUUCUCUGGAGAUCAAACUGUACAGUAUCUGUAUUAUUGGCCUGAGACGUAGUUUGUGCAAUCUAUUUGGGACAAACCUCCAGUCAAAAGGAUUGCAUUUUUAUCGACCUAAUUAAGAUUUUCUAAAGUGAAUUUGUUUUGUGAUAAAGGGAAGGUGGUAGCCGAUGAUACAGGUCUCUAGCAGGAGAUAAGAAAGGCUAAGCGUGGUCCUUGGAUUAGCUUGACUUUUUUCUGAAAAGAAACUCAAACAUAAGAAAUUUCCCAGACAUAAUUUUAAAACUUAUCAGAAUCAGUAGAGACAAUAGCAAAUUUUAGGAUUUUUAAAAGUAAAGUGUAAAUUACUUGUCUUUUUACAGACUGUUUGUCUUGAUAUGACUCUGGAGUUAGCAUUUCUACCAUUCUGCAUUUGUUUCCGUGGGAGCUUUAAGAAUGCUGUGGCCUAGUUUUCUUGUUUGUGUUGGGUAGAACUAGGAAGCCAUCAGUUAUCUAGACUCCUAACAAUUAUUGUGCUUACAGUGUUUAUAGUGGCCGUUGGAUUUCUGUGUUACAACAUUUUAUAAAUCACAUACCUUAGAAUACUUUGCUAUUGAUUUAUAAUUAAUUAUUUAUACUGGGUGUCCAUAUUUAGUAUUAAUCCAGACAGAUAACCUUUAUCUAACUGAACUUUUAUACCUUUAAUCCAUGUUACAACUUUUAAAAUAGCAUUAUAAUUUUUAAAACUUUGCUUUAUAAAGCAUUUGUUACC